UCCACACGGUAAACGAUGAAUACUCGCUGUUUGCGAUAUACAGCAAGCGGCCAAGCGAAAGCGUUAAGUAUUCCACCUGGGGAGUACGCCGGCAACGGUGAAACUCAAAGGAAUUGACGGGGGCCCGCACAAGCGGAGGAACAUGUGGUUUAAUUCGAUGAUACGCGAGGAACCUUACCCGGGCUUGAAUUGCACUCGAAUAUAGCGGAAACGUUAUAGCUAGCAAUAGCGAGUGUGAAGGUGCUGCAUGGUUGUCGUCAGCUCGUGCCGUGAGGUGUCGGCUUAAGUGCCAUAACGAGCGCAACCCUUGUCUAUAGUUACUAACAGGUCAUGCUGAGGACUCUAUGGAGACUGCCAUCGUAAGAUGUGAGGAAGGUGGGGAUGACGUCAAAUCAGCACGGCCCUACGUCCGGGGCCACACACGUGUUACAAUGGGGGGUACAGAGGGCCGCUACCACGCAAGUGGAUGCCAAUCCCGAAAGCCUCUCUCAGUUCGGACUGGAGUCUGCAACCCGACUCCACGAAGCUGGAUUCGCUAGUAAUCGCGCAUCAGCCAUGGCGCGGUGAAUACGUUCCCGGGCCUUGUACACACCGCCCGUC
RNAcentral lists this ribosomal RNA (600 nucleotides) under uncultured bacterium. RNAcentral describes it as "bacterial SSU rRNA". It matches the Rfam family "Bacterial small subunit ribosomal RNA", at positions 794 to 1398 of the family's 1533-position model. The record is from RNAcentral.